GGUGCUGUGGCUUAGCUGGUUGAAAGCGCCUGUCUCGUAAACAGGAGAUCCUGGGAUUCGACCCCCAGCAGCACCU
Hypomesus transpacificus is the source of this 76-nucleotide non-coding RNA. The record is from the annotation of a RefSeq genome assembly. Lineage: Eukaryota; Metazoa; Chordata; Actinopteri; Osmeriformes; Osmeridae.